Molecule: non-coding RNA, 72 nt
Organism: Parelaphostrongylus tenuis
Lineage: Eukaryota; Metazoa; Nematoda; Chromadorea; Rhabditida; Metastrongylidae
Source: the annotation of a GenBank genome assembly
GUCUCGGUGGUGUAGGGGUAGCAUGCGGCCCUGGUAUGGGUGAAGCACGGGUUCAACUCCCAGCUUGGGUCG